UGGGGAAUAUUGGACAAUGGACGAAAGUCUGAUCCAGCAAUACCGCGUGUGUGAAGAAGGCCUGAGGGUUGUAAAGCACUUUCAAUUGGGAGGAAAACAGGCGAAAUUAAUAUCUCGUCUCUUGACAUUACCUUUAGAAGAAGCACCGGCUAACUCCGUGCCAGCAGCCGCGGUAAUACGGAGGGUGCAAGCGUUAAUCGGAAUUACUGGGCGUAAAGCGUUCGUAGGCGGCUGUUUAAGUUAGAUGUGAAAGCCCCGGGCUUAACUUGGGAACUGCAUUUAAAACUGGACAGCUAGAGUUUAGGAGAGGGAAGUGGAAUUUCAGGUGUAGCAGUGAAAUGCGUAGAGAUCUGAAGGAACACCAGUGGCGAAGGCGACUUCCUGGACUAAAACUGACGCUGAGGAACGAAAGCGUGGGUAGCAAACG
Molecule: ribosomal RNA, 427 nt
Filed under: Gigantidas vrijenhoeki methanotrophic gill symbiont
Lineage: Bacteria; Pseudomonadati; Pseudomonadota; Gammaproteobacteria
Description: bacterial SSU rRNA
Rfam family: Bacterial small subunit ribosomal RNA
Source: RNAcentral